RNAcentral lists this ribosomal RNA (465 nucleotides) under uncultured bacterium. RNAcentral's name for it is "partial 16S ribosomal RNA". It matches the Rfam family "Bacterial small subunit ribosomal RNA", at positions 338 to 795 of the family's 1533-position model. The record is from RNAcentral.
CCUACGGGUGGCAGCAGUGGGGAAUAUUGCGCAAUGGGCGAAAGCCUGACGCAGCGACGCCGCGUGAGGGAUGAAGGUCUUCGGAUCGUAAACCUCUGUCAGCAGGGAAGAACGGUCACUGUGCUAAUCAGCAGUGAAUUGACGGUACCUGCAAAGGAAGCACCGGCUAACUCCGUGCCAGCAGCCGCGGUAAUACGGAGGGUGCGAGCGUUAAUCGGAAUUACUGGGCGUAAAGCGCUCGUAGGCGGUACGUCAAGUCAAGGGUGAAAUCCCCGCGCUCAACGUGGGAACUGCCUUUGAAACUGGCAAACUGGAGUGUGUGAGAGGAUAGUGGAAGUCCAGGUGUAGGAGUGAAAUGCGUAGAUAUCUGGAGGAACAUCAGUGGCGAAGGCGACUAUCUGGCACAUAACUGACGCUGAGGAGCGAAAGCGUGGGUAGCAAACAGGAUUAGAUACCCUUGUAGUC